GAGGAAGUCAGUUUCUAGGCAAACAGAAAAAUAAAAACCCUCUUCGGACUUCUGCUUUGCUUCCCUGAUCUGCAUUUUAUACCCUUUUUCUUUAGAUUGAAUUAGAAAAUAUCUUUAGCAAGCUAAUGGAUCUCAAGGCUCCUCACUCUAUGGGUACUACUAUUAUCGGCGUCACCUAUGACGGCGGCGUCGUCCUGGGUGCCGACUCUCGCACCAGCACUGGGAUGUAUGUCGCAAAUAGGGCUUCGGACAAAAUUACUCAGCUCACUGAUAAUGUCUACGUUUGUCGUUCUGGAUCGGCUGCAGAUUCCCAAAUUGUGUCUGACUAUGUUCGUUACUUUCUUCAUCAGCACACAAUACAGUUAGGUCAGCCCGCAACUGUCAAAGUUGCUGCUAAUCUGGUCAGGCUGCUAUCUUAUAACAAUAAGAACAUGCUAGAAACUGGCCUAAUUGUUGGUGGAUGGGACAAAUAUGAAGGUGGUAAAAUUUAUGGAGUUCCUCUCGGUGGAACAAUAAUAGAGCAGCCUUUUGCUAUUGGAGGAUCUGGCUCCAGUUACUUGUAUGGAUUCUUUGAUCAAGCAUGGAAAGAAGGAAUGACCAAGGAUGAAGCUGAGGUAUGUAGCUGUUGAUGAAUGCAAAUGGAAAAAUUGGUUAACACCCUGGAAUAGAUAUUUGAGGAAUGAUCCUGGAUGUUUAUUGGACUGAUACUCAGUGGUUAUGGCUUGAGACAUUGUACCUUUUCAUAACCUUGUGCCACUAUGAGGGUUAAGUUCAACUAGUGAAAGUGCAUCUAAAAUUUGUUUCUUUUUGCUCCAUGAAAGACAAUCAUUGUUUUUGAGGGAAGAACAUGAGUUUUAGUGUUCCUUUGUUUGUAUGAAUCUGUUGGUUGCUAGCUAAGCAACAAAGAAAAUAAAUAAAUAAAUAAAUGACUAAUUUGCAUCUGCCUGCAGAUCACAAACUCCAAUGCUAUUAACCUUAAUUAAUACGGAGACUGCUUAACUAAAUCAGUCAAUUCACAUAGAAUUUGUUCCAAAACUUUUUAAGAAGGAAAAAAGGAAAAUUAUGAAAUGAAAUAACCAGGGAAAUUCAUAUUCAGUAGCAUAUUCAUGCAUGCCUUAUUAGUAACCUUCAUAGAUAACCACUAUGCAAAUAGUGGGAUUAUCCAACAGGUCAUUUAUCUUUUCUAGUCAAGAUGGUAUGAUCCAUUUAUUCAAAAUAUUCUUGUGAUAUUAUCAAUGAAUAGAAAUCCACAACAACGGAAAUGCCUUUCUUUGGAAUAACAACACUAACAAGAAAUUCAACAAAAUACCUGGAAAUCAGAAAGUUUCU
This 1329-nucleotide unclassified non-coding RNA is filed under the name Hevea brasiliensis (rubber tree). The record is from RNAcentral. Lineage: Eukaryota; Viridiplantae; Streptophyta; Magnoliopsida; Malpighiales; Euphorbiaceae.